UAGAUAUCAAAUAAUAUUAUAUGAACCAUGAUAUUGAUAUAAAUAUUGGCUAUGAUGCAACACAUAAAUUGUGGCAAGUUUUUUGGUGCGCAGUUUUUAAAAAUAUAUUCAAAAUGAAUAGAACAAGGAGCAAAAAUUAAAAUGUAAUCAAUCUUCCAAUGUUCCUCACUUAAAACGUGAUACUGUAUUAAAAAAAUAUUAAAACAUAACAUCAAUAGUUCAUAAUUACCUAACAUGAUCAUCAUGUGUGAUUUACUAUUAAUCUCUUAGCAAACCCACUAUCAGGGUUGGUAACCCGGAUGCCCGAUACCGGGGUUACAACAAUUCUGGAUAACACAAUUCUAUUGACCUGAUGGAUGGCCAGUAUUGUUGAUUGGGUCAUAAAUAGGAAGAUCAUAGACGGUAUUAUAGUCAUUUUAUGUAGCUCAGCCAAUUCUAAAUUAGAUCACUGUUAUUAUAGGGUUCUUGCUCAGCCGCUAGGGUUUUGGCAAGAGAAGAACUCCUCGACAGACACCUCGUCAUGAACAUUAGCAAGAGCACUAAUGAUGAGGACGAGCUCAUGGAGUGACGGCGGUAGAUGAGCAUCAGACAGGAGGCGCUGGCACUAUACCGUGACAUUCUUUGGGCCCGCGGGGUCAUCUGUAGAGAUGUGCUCCAAGAGAACUUCCACUAGGAGUUUGAGGAAGCGAGGUACAAGCGCGAUCCAGAGAUCAUCACCAGACCCUAGAUCUCCAAAAUCCCCUUUGAGGUCCUCUCUCUCCUUCUCCGCUUCCAUUAUCCACCUCUCCAAUGGCCAUAUCCGACUUCUGCUCCUCCUCCUCCUCCUUUCUUCCCCUGACGAUGCUCUCAAGCUCACUGAUGAGUUCUUUGAUUCGAAGGAACCCCGCUUCAGAAGGCUUUUUUUUGCAUAUGAAGGAGUAAGAGAAGGGAGCGAUUGCGAAGCCUGAUGAGGGAUGGAUCCGUAUUUUCACUCUCCCGCAACGAGAACUUUCUCAUGAACUUGCCAGCCCUUAUCUCCAUCCGUAGGCAUAUCCACCUCAAAGACGUACGAUCAAGGGAGUUCCUUCACGUCUGCUGGAGUCAUGCUCUUAUCCAACUCAUCAGGGAAUGUCCAUGAGGUGCUGCAUAGGUGGACAUGAGAGGUCCCUCCAAGCCCAUCACCAGGUCCAUUGCUUCUCCCAAUCCUUUUGUUGAUCUUCUUCUAAUGUUGUUGUUGUUAAUCUUGCUCUUCUCUUUGAUUGAUUUGGAUUUCAUCGAUGAUAAGAGAAUUAGGGUGAAGAAACUGUUCUCCGUCUAGGACUUCUUUCGGUAUGCUAAGACCGAAGGUAUUUCAAUGAGAAUUGGUGGCCUUCGUCUUCGGUGUUUGAGGAUCCUCCGGUUGAGAGCGCAGAUAAAGAGAAACUUAUUGAUAUUUUUCAGGUGGAGCUUCUCUACACCAAGUUUGCCUCUUUGGUGAAAUCAGAUCACUAGAGAGAUCUUGGAAAUCGUCGCCGGCGCUGAUUUACUCAUUUAGUCUGGAAAUUGAGGAUGAGGACUGUUAAAGCUCCUUACACAAUUUGUUUGGAACUAGGGAAAUAUUGAUGCACAGGUGUGUGACCUCAUUUGGAGUUAUGCUUGGUUUUGAUAGAGUAUGAAGCUGACGCUGCCGGAGAGAAGAUGGUUGGAUCUACCCAAAUAGGAUGAUUAAUUGACAAGUUUGGAGGGUUAUACUUUUUGAUAAGAAAGCAAUCAGUGAAAAUCCAGUCCUUUUUUAUAUAUUUAAUUUAUUUUAAUUUUAUUUUUCAAUUAAAUUCAUGUUGACAGGUCUUAUUUUUGGAUGAAGAUAAGCCACAAUUGUUGACUCUAUAAGCUACAAUUGUUGACUCUGGCCGUGUAUAAUUAAUGUAAUCCUGUCAAUUCGUUGU
This is a long non-coding RNA of Dioscorea cayenensis subsp. rotundata (Guinea yam), 1904 nucleotides long. RefSeq lists it as uncharacterized. The record is from RefSeq and is a predicted model, not a curated record. The transcript has 6 exons. NCBI's taxonomy places the organism in Eukaryota, Viridiplantae, Streptophyta, Magnoliopsida, Dioscoreales, Dioscoreaceae.